RNAcentral lists this ribosomal RNA (405 nucleotides) under uncultured bacterium. Its description in RNAcentral is "bacterial SSU rRNA". It matches the Rfam family "Bacterial small subunit ribosomal RNA", at positions 355 to 776 of the family's 1533-position model. The record is from RNAcentral.
UAAGGAAUCUUCCACAAUGGACGAAAGUCUGAUGGAGCAACGCCGCGUGCAGGAUGAAGGCUUUCGGGUCGUAAACUGCUUUUAUAUGGGAAGAUUAUGACGGUACCAUAUGAAUAAGGACCGGCUAACUACGUGCCAGCAGCCGCGGUAAUACGUAGGGUCCAAGCGUUAUCCGGAAUCACUGGGCGUAAAGCGUGUGUAGGUGGAUUAAUAAGUGAGAUGCGAAAUCCUGUGGCUCAACCAUAUGGACUGUAUCUCAUACUGUUAGUCUUGAGGAUGGCAGAGGCAAGUGGAAUUACCGGUGUAGCAGUGAAAUGCGUAGAGAUCGGUAGGAACACCAAUGGCGAAGGCAGCUUGCUGGGCCACACCUGACACUGAGACACGAAAGCGUGGGGAGCGAACAGG